Molecule: small nucleolar RNA, 136 nt
Organism: Setaria italica (foxtail millet)
Lineage: Eukaryota; Viridiplantae; Streptophyta; Magnoliopsida; Poales; Poaceae
Rfam family: Small nucleolar RNA Z247
About the family: Z247 is a member of the C/D class of snoRNA which contain the C (UGAUGA) and D (CUGA) box motifs. Most of the members of the box C/D family function in directing site-specific 2'-O-methylation of substrate RNAs.
Source: Rfam
AAGCUCGAAGAUGACGAUGUCAUCGAUUAUAUUUUGAACGGGUUAGAUGCUGACUGUAACCCGUUUGUAUCUUCUAUGUCCAUCAAGGAUAAUGUAAGCUUGAGUGAUCUAUAUGGUCAAUUGCUCUCCUAUGAGG